Molecule: long non-coding RNA, 866 nt
Organism: Mytilus californianus (California mussel)
Lineage: Eukaryota; Metazoa; Mollusca; Bivalvia; Mytilida; Mytilidae
Exons: 3
Source: RefSeq, a predicted model, not a curated record
CGCUGGGGGCAGCUUGAUACGACCGCAGAGGUCAAACCCUGAACAGUUGGGGCAAGUAUGGACACAACAUUCAAGCUUGAUACAGCUCUGAAUUUGGAUUGUGAUUAAAUAUUUGACACAGCAUAGGUUUCUGACACAGAAUGAAUGUGGUCUAAGAACUUAAAUUUUUUUAAUUUACCUAUUAUGGUCCAAUAUCCAAAAUCUAAAUACAUGGUUAGAUUCAGCAUAUCAAAGAAUCCAAAGAAUUCAAUUUUUGAUGAAAUCAAAUAGUUUAAUUUUGGACCCUUUUGACCUCAAUGUGGACCAAUUUGAUAACAGGGCCCAAAAAUCAAAAUACAUGGUGAGAUUCAGCAUAUCAAAGAACCCCAUAUAUUCAAUUAUUGUUGAAAUCAAACAAAGUUUAAUUUUGGACCUAAACUUGGACCAACUUGAAAACUGGGCCCAUAAUCAAAAAUCUAAACACAUGUUUAGAUUCAGCAUAUCAAAGAACCCCAAGAAUUCAAUUUUUGUUAAAAUCAAACUAAGUUUAAUUUUGGACCCUUUGGACCUUAAUGUAGACCAAUUUGAAAACUGGACCCAAAAUUAAAAAUCUAAAUACACGGUCAGAUUCUGCAUAACAAAUAAAUAAAUGUGGUCAAAGAUUUUACAAAUCUAAUGCGCCAUUCUGUGCAAUUAAAGAUUACUUCUUGAAAUUUUUCAAUAUUUGAAAUUUGAAAAAAAAGUAAUAUUUGAAGAAUAAUUCUUUUUAAUUUCUGAAAUCUGAAAUUAAAAAAAAUUGACCCCCACAAUUUCUUCCCCCCCAAAAAAUUCUUUCCCUCAAGAUAUGGUCAUAAUCUCAAUUCAAAUUUAGGGAGGUAAUUCAAAUG